RNAcentral lists this small nuclear RNA (106 nucleotides) under Schistocerca americana (American grasshopper). Lineage: Eukaryota; Metazoa; Arthropoda; Insecta; Orthoptera; Acrididae. The record is from RNAcentral.
GUACUCGCUUCGGUAGUACAUAUACUACAACAGGAAUGACACAGAAAAGAUUAGCGUGGCCCUGCGCAAGGAUGACACACACAAUCAUGAAGCAUUCCACAGUUUU